UACGUAGGGCGCAAGCGUUAUCCGGAAUUAUUGGGCGUAAAGGGCUCGUAGGCGGUUUGUCGCGUCGGGAGUGAAAUCCACUGGCUUAACCGGUGGCUUGCUUUCGAUACGGGCAGACUGGAGUACUGCAGGGGAGACUGGAAUUCCUGGUGUAGCGGUGGAAUGCGCAGAUAUCAGGAGGAACACCGGUGGCGAAGGCGGGUCUCUGGGCAGUAACUGACGCUGAGGAGCGAAAGCGUGGGGAGCAAACAGG
This 253-nucleotide ribosomal RNA is filed under the name uncultured bacterium. RNAcentral's name for it is "partial 16S ribosomal RNA". It matches the Rfam family "Bacterial small subunit ribosomal RNA", at positions 524 to 776 of the family's 1533-position model. The record is from RNAcentral.